RNAcentral lists this ribosomal RNA (482 nucleotides) under uncultured bacterium. RNAcentral describes it as "partial 16S ribosomal RNA". The record is from RNAcentral.
CACGUAGUUAGCCGGAGCUUUCUUGAAAGGUACCGUCACUCCUAAGUCAUUUCCUACUUAGUUCUUUCUUCCCUAACAACAGAAGUUUACAAUCCAUAGGACCGUCAUCCUUCACGCGGCAUUGCUCGUUCGGGGUUUCCCCCAUUGACGAAUAUUCCUAACUGCUGUCUCCCGUAGGAGUCUGGGCCGUGUCUCAGUCCCAGUGUGGCCGAUCACCCUCUCAGGUCGGCUACGCAUCGUCGCCUUGGUAAGCCAUUACCUCACCAACUAGCUAAUACGGCGCAGGCUCAUCUUCAAGCGAAGCUUUAAAGGCUUACCUUUAAUAUAAACAGACGCAUCUGCUUAUAUAUAAUCGGCAUUAGCAAUCUAUUUCUAAUUUGUUAUUCCAAAACUCGAAGGUAGAUUAACCCACGUGUUACUCUACCCUUGCGCCACUAGAUGGGAAUUCCAUUUCCAAUUUUGUGUCAAGCACUCAUCUUCAU